CGCGCGGAUCACCGUGCUCGCCGCCGCCGACUUCCGGCCGUCCCCCGAAUCCCCCUCCGGCGACCCCGGCUGCUCGCCCUCGUCCCAGCCCCAACCCCAAGCCUGACGUAAGCUCGUCGACGCCGGCGAGCGCUGCGGCGGGCGUCCACGGGCGAUUGCGGAGGCCGGCGGAUGGGAGGACAGGACGGCCGUGGAAGCGGUGGAUUCGGGCUGCGGCGUCGGCGUCGGCGUCGGAGGGGAGUUCUAGCCUUGCCAAUGCAGGUAAAUUUUCAAGGCAGAUUGCUUCCAGUUGGGAGGAAACCCCCGUGCUUGUAAGUUUGCAUCUGCCAUGGUUAAUGCAGGGAAUUUUUACUGACCUAACACUCGGUGGAGAUGCUGAAAAUGAGGGGGACGCACUACGCAGAUGAGUUCCUGAUGAUAUUCCAAUCGGAAAUCGAGUGUCAAAUUCGCUGUCGCUUCAAAUUAUGGGUCAAAAAACCGUGUUAAUCGGUCACUGUCUCACUGGAGAAAUUUCACCAAAAUCAAGACUCCGAGCCUUGAUUUUGCGUUGCCUGAACUUGCCUGCUCUUUCAUGCUGCAGAAGGUGCCCAUCUAGAGGAAAGAAAUUUUUACGUGAGCUACCCAUUUCUUCCUGGUGCUGAGGAUUAUCAUGCACGCGGUCACCUUCUUUGUGGUGGAUUACUCUUUUCAAUGCACACCAAAGGUGAGGAAUUGCUGAGCAACAUUGCUUUCCGACAGUUAUUCUUUCACAUUCGUACAGUUUUAGGUGAUGCUUGGUGAUUAGUACUUCCCUUUCGUGGAAGCUCGCGAUGCGCUUUUCAGUUAAAGUUGCCGUGAAUCCAGCAUAGGGGGGAUGAUGACAUCCUUUUCUUUGGUCAAGGAAUGUUGGGGGUAUAGUAAUUUUCGUGCUAUUUUCCCUCGGCAUCAGCAUUUCAUAGUUCACACGUUAAGCCAACAUAUUCUUGAGUGGGUUUCCUAUAUGGCAGGGCAUGCCACAUGAUUUCCUCUUGCCAAUCAAUGACAAUUCUGAAUGAUAUUGUUCAUCGUCCACCUUGUAGGUCCUUCUUUUUUUAAAAAAUAUUUAUUCUUAUGUAUAUGUUCUGGGUGUUGUUUGAGAAUGUCAUGUCCUAGCUCCGUUGUAAAGCUGUCUUCGUUGGCCUCUUCCAAGCAGGAAGGGUCAACGAGUGGGAUGCCUUGGCUAAUCUGGGAGAUAAGAUUUGCUCAAGACAAAAACCUGAUAUUGGCAUCUCUAAGAAGUUUUAGCUCGAUGCCUGCAAGUGCUUAUUAAUAUUUCAUAUCUGUUAUCUCUUGUCAUGCCAAUACUUUGUUGGAUAUAUAUUAAGGUCAAAGCUAUAGGAAUCAAGGCCAUAUGUACCUGUCUGACAGAUAAACCUGUUGACAUACUGGCCUUGACACUGAAGCCAGAUGCUACAAGUAAUAUUGCCGAUCAUUGUAAGCAUGCAUCUCCUAAAAUUAGGUGUGACGAAUCCAUUAACCAAUUAAGGCAAGUGCAGGAUUCACACGAUGCAUUUUAUUGGAAACCUUACAUCCAAUGAGGGUGGUGUUUCUUAUCCACCAGAAAUUUACUAAAAUUUCUUAUUCCAAAAGGGGCCUGAAAAUUCUUGUCUUCAUACUCAUUUGUUUUUCAAAUAAACUUGAAAGAAAGGCCAUCGUUUGUGAAUGGAGUAAGACAGUAACUGGCUCAUCCAUACUGGAAAGUAAAUGUCUGAAAUGUAUCAGAUGUUAUUUAGGACUGGCAGUAGCACAAAGAGAGUGCUAUUAAUAUGCUUUUCUGUUAUUUUCCAGGUUCAUCAUCUUAGAAAAUGUUGGUGAGCUCUACCUACCAGGGGAUAUUCUCUCUGUCUGGAAGGAAUGAACAGGAGGUAGGUCAGGUACUGCCUGAGAGACAAACUAGACAUUGGUGUGAUAUACUUCCUUAAAAUCACAUAAAAAUGUAUAUGAUAUUAAAGGAAAACUGAAUGCCAAUGUGGGCACAGUUUAAUCACCCCUGUUAAUAAGGCUGUUAUCUUCUUCACUGGUACUCUCUUGCUACGACUAUGCAUACACGAAGACUAAUACUGUUUCAUUUACUCAUACCCUAAGUAUGGAUUUUGCUGACAUACGUUGGAGCAAUCAUACUAGCUACUACUAGCCAGGGGGAUCAGCCUAGGCUCCUAUCUCUUAACAUGUUUCUUUUUCAUUCAUACUAUGGUGCCAGCCAAAUUUCAACAAUGUGGAAGACAAAUAACAGUUGUCCAAAUUGAGCUUCCCAUCUGGCAUGAAGAAUUGUUGAAUUUGAGCCCUUCUUUUUUUUUUUAAAGACGUGUGGCUAGUGUCCUCAAACCACUAAUUUCAUCUGGAGUUGAUGAAGGAGCAGACAAAGACAUACAUAAUCUUCAGAAACACAAGGUAUGUGCUGUAUCUUCGUUAGGAAGUCAAAGAGUAGUUUUAGCAAGUUGCUGCCUUUCAGGUUGUAUGUAUCUUUAGAUUGCACCCCAGUGUUCUCUUAUUAGCAUCCCUCUUUUUUUUAAAACAAUCAUUAACAUCAAUCUUGCUAGAAAAUGGAAAAUGUAAUUGCCUGGCAACUUUGAAAAAUGAAGUUUCUUUUGUGUGGUAUUUCAGAUUUUAUUCUGCUCAUGCAAAUCUAUGAUGAAAGUCACUUAAGUGAUAUGCUUUUCUCACUGCAAACUGAUUUAUUUACUGCUCUUGUUACUAACAUAUUAACUUCCAAUCACUGUAACUAAACUUUGAUCCACACUGAGCUCAGCUGUGAAAAAUCAACCUUGCUCUUUAAAUUACACUGCAAACCAAUUCCAUCUUUCAUGGAAAUCCCAUUGGUCCCUAAAGCAUCAUUCACUAGCUGCAUAAUCCACACUACUACAGUUCUAUAUAUUCUUGCACCUCAAGCAUGCCACAUGCAUCUGCAGCUGGGCCAGCCACCAAUUCGAAUUCCAUUUUUUUUUACAGGUACGUGAAACACAAGAACCAGAUGCUUGCAUAGCUAUAUAUAUAUAUAUAUAUAUAUAUAUAUAUAAGUUAAAGUAAAACAUAUAUCAUCAUAGAAUGAGGAGUAGCAGCAGCAGUAGCUGUUGCAGUAGCAGGCAGACAUUGCUCAAAAGCCUGGUUGCUUGGCCCCAGCCUUGAAGGCCACCCCACCAAUCAUCCACUGCAGCAAUGCACAGCAGCACAUCAUCACAGAUGCUUCUGCUGCUUCUCUUCCUCCUCUGCCUCUACCUGUUCAGAUCAAUCUCUGAUGAGCUUCCAUCCUCUGCUCCUGCAUAUUCUUCUUCUUGUUCUUCUUCUUGAUCUGCCUGGUUGUGCCUUUGCAGGAAGUUGAAGGCCCUCUUGCCCUGCACCGGCUGCUCGACGGUGCAAUCGCUGGUGUGGAGCCGCUUGGACCCGGCGGCCUUGCUCUCGGCCUCCGACGA
RNAcentral lists this long non-coding RNA (3428 nucleotides) under Oryza sativa (Asian cultivated rice). Its description in RNAcentral is "long non-coding RNA (OSAT_LNC001531)". The record is from RNAcentral. Lineage: Eukaryota; Viridiplantae; Streptophyta; Magnoliopsida; Poales; Poaceae.